This 299-nucleotide ribosomal RNA is filed under the name uncultured bacterium. RNAcentral's name for it is "partial 16S ribosomal RNA". It matches the Rfam family "Bacterial small subunit ribosomal RNA", at positions 337 to 653 of the family's 1533-position model. The record is from RNAcentral.
UUCCUCGGGGCGCAGCAGUAGGGAAUAUUACUCAAUGGGGGGAACCCUGAAGCAGCAACGCCGCGUGGAGGAUGAAGGUUUUCGGAUUGUAAACUCCUUUUGUUAGAGAAGAUAAUGACGGUAUCUAACGAAUAAGCACCGGCUAACUCCGUGCCAGCAGCCGCGGUAAUACGGAGGGUGCAAGCGUUACUCGGAAUCACUGGGCGUAAAGAGCGCGUAGGCGGGAUGGCAAGUCAGAUGGGAAAUCCUAUGGCUUAACCAUAGAACUGCAUUUGAAACUGUUAUUCUAGAGUAUGGGA